UACGAAGGGGGCUAGCGUUGUUCGGAGUUACUGGGCGUAAAGGGCGCGUAGGCGGCGCACCAAGUCAGGCGUGAAAGCCCUGGGCUCAACCCGGGAAUUGCGCUUGAGACUGGUGUGCUUGAGUACGGGAGAGGAUAGUGGAAUUCCCAGUGUAGAGGUGAAAUUCGUAGAUAUUGGGAAGAACACCGGUGGCGAAGGCGGCUAUCUGGACCGUAACUGACGCUGAGGCGCGGAAGCGUGGGGAGCAAACAGG
Molecule: ribosomal RNA, 253 nt
Filed under: uncultured bacterium
Lineage: Bacteria
Description: partial 16S ribosomal RNA
Rfam family: Bacterial small subunit ribosomal RNA
Source: RNAcentral